GCAAACUUGGUCAUUUAGAGGAAGUAAAAGUCGUAACAAGGUCUCCGUUGGUGAACCAGCGGAGGGAUCAUUACAGAGUUUAUUACAACUCCUAAACCCAUGUGAACUUACCUUCUGUUGCCUCGGCAGGCAGGUCGCAUCUAUUACCCUGUAGUACCCUACCCUGGGAGCUCUUACCCAGUAAGAGCAUACCCUGGAUAGACCUACCCGGUACAAGAUUGCGCGCCAGCUUGCCGGUGGACCAUGAAACAAACUCUGUUUUAAUAACUGAUAUUCUGAUUAUUAUAUGGAAAUAAGUUAAAACUUUCAACAACGGAUCUCUUGGUUCUGGCAUCGAUGAAGAACGCAGC
Molecule: unclassified non-coding RNA, 350 nt
Filed under: uncultured fungus
Lineage: Eukaryota; Fungi
Description: partial contains small subunit ribosomal RNA, internal transcribed spacer 1, and 5.8S ribosomal RNA
Rfam family: Eukaryotic small subunit ribosomal RNA (bases 1-73)
Source: RNAcentral